This 334-nucleotide ribosomal RNA is filed under the name Shigella sonnei. RNAcentral's name for it is "bacterial SSU rRNA". It matches the Rfam family "Bacterial small subunit ribosomal RNA", at positions 156 to 485 of the family's 1533-position model. The record is from RNAcentral. Lineage: Bacteria; Pseudomonadati; Pseudomonadota; Gammaproteobacteria; Enterobacterales; Enterobacteriaceae.
ACGGUAGCUAAUACCGCAUAACGUCGCAAGACCAAAGAGGGGGACCUUCGGGCCUCUUGCCAUCGGAUGUGCCCAGAUGGGAUUAGCUAGUAGGUGGGGUAACGGCUCACCUAGGCGACGAUCCCUAGCUGGUCUGAGAGGAUGACCAGCCACACUGGAACUGAGACACGGUCCAGACUCCUACGGGAGGCAGCAGUGGGGAAUAUUGCACAAUGGGCGCAAGCCUGAUGCAGCCAUGCCGCGUGUAUGAAGAAGGCCUUCGGGUUGUAAAGUACUUUCAGCGGGGAGGAAGGGAGUAAAGUUAAUACCUUUGCUCAUUGACGUUACCCGCAGA